UUGGCCUUGACAUACUAAGAACUUUCCAGAGAUGGAUUGGUGCCUUCGGGAACUUAGAUACAGGUGCUGCAUGGCUGUCGUCAGCUCGUGUCGUGAGAUGUUGGUUAAGUCCGCAACGAGCGCAACCCUUUUCCUUAUUUGCCAGCGGGUCAUGCCGGGAACUUUAAGGAUACUGCCAGUGACAAACUGGAGGAAGGCGGGGACGACGUCAAGUCAUCAUGGCCCUUACGGCCAGGGCUACACACGUGCUACAAUGGUCGGUACAAAGGGUUGCUACCUCGCGAGAGGAUGCUAAUCUCAAAAAGCCGAUCGUAGUCCGGAUCGCAGUCUGCAACUCGACUGCGUGAAGUCGGAAUCGCUAGUAAUCGCGGAUCAGAAUGCCGCGGUGAAUACGUUCCCGGGCCUUGUACACACCGCCCGUCACACCAUGGGAGUUUGUUGCACCAGAAGUAGGUAGUCUAACCGCAAGGAGGACGCUUACCACGGUGUGGCCGAUGACUGGGGUGAAGUCGUAACAAGGUAGGCGUACUACA
Molecule: ribosomal RNA, 533 nt
Filed under: uncultured bacterium
Lineage: Bacteria
Description: bacterial SSU rRNA
Rfam family: Bacterial small subunit ribosomal RNA
Source: RNAcentral